RNAcentral lists this ribosomal RNA (406 nucleotides) under uncultured bacterium. Its description in RNAcentral is "partial 16S ribosomal RNA". It matches the Rfam family "Bacterial small subunit ribosomal RNA", at positions 30 to 526 of the family's 1533-position model. The record is from RNAcentral.
AUUGAACGCUGGCGGCAGGCCUAACACAUGCAAGUCGAACGAGUGGCGGACGGGUGAGUAAUGUCUGGGAAACUGCCUGAUGGAGGGGGAUAACUACUGGAAACGGUAGCUAAUACCGCAUACCAUCGGAUGUGCCCAGAUGGGAUUAGCUAGUAGGGGGGGUAACGGCUCACCUAGGCGACGAUCCCUAGCUGGUCUGGUGGGAUGACCGGCCACACUGGAACUGAGACACGGACCAGACUCGUACGGGAGGCAGCAGUGGAGAAUAUUGCACAAUGGGAGCAAGCCUGAUGCAGCCAGGCCGCGUGUAUGAAGAAGACCUUCGGGUUGUAAAGUACUUUCAGCGAGGAGGCGUUACCCUCAGAAGAAGCACCGGCUAACUCCGUGCCAGCAGCCGCGGUAAUUC